Molecule: long non-coding RNA, 527 nt
Organism: Apodemus sylvaticus (European woodmouse)
Lineage: Eukaryota; Metazoa; Chordata; Mammalia; Rodentia; Muridae
Exons: 3
Source: RefSeq, a predicted model, not a curated record
CCUGUGUUUGGUACUUACCAUGUUUUCCUCCAGCAGAUUCAACAUUUCAGGUUUCGGGUUAACUCCCUGAUGAAUUUUGAUUCAGUUUUCGAUUGUGAAAGUUCAGUAUUUUGACAAAUUGCAUUGACUUCCCAGAUUGCUUUGAGCAGUGUAUUUGUUUGGAAUUAUUCUGAUUCAUGAGCAAGAGUUAAGAAAACGGUCAUGGAAGUAUAGCCAGGGAUGCAGAGUUUCCACGGGUUUAUUUAUUUGUGUUUUAAAGGUAUACAGAAAAUGUGGCAUAUUUACACAAUGGAGUUCUAUUCGGCCAUUAAGAACGAUGAAUUCAUGAAAUUCUUAAGCAACUGGAUGGAACUAGAAAAUAUCAUCCUGAGUAAAGUAACCAAUCACAAAAGAACACACAUGGUCUGCACUCACUGGAUACCCAAAACAUAAUCCACCCAUCAAAUGAGGUACAAGAAGAACGGAGGAGUGACCCCUUGUUCUGGAAAGAUUCAGUGAAGCAGUAUAGGGCAAAACCAGAACAGGGA